Molecule: long non-coding RNA, 4424 nt
Filed under: Sus scrofa (pig)
Lineage: Eukaryota; Metazoa; Chordata; Mammalia; Artiodactyla; Suidae
Description: lncRNA (ENSSSCG00060013036.1)
Source: RNAcentral
GGUGGGGAGCCAGGAUUUGCGGGUUCGGGUCCCAGAAGGAUCCAGUGUCCGGAGCCCCGAGGGCCGGCCCGAGGCCCCUCCCACUCCGUCAGGUCUUUGUCCAGCGGCCCCUGUGUGUGAGGGAGGGGGGGGUGGGGACUGGGUUCCAGGCCCGGAGAUUCCCCAGCAUCGUGACGGGGCAGUGACAGGAGACUGAGGCCACUUGGGGCCCUGCGGGCCCUGCGACCCUCACACCCACACCCUGCCUUUCUUCUCUCCUGGCCCGAGAGAGCUUAGCCCCCAUCUCGGAGUCAGAGUGUUGCAGGAAGCCACAUUUACCUUCACCCGUGGGUUAUAGGCUGCCAGGGGGACCCUCUGAGCUCCCAGCUCUCUCUCAUGAGCCCUUUAAACUUCCCCACUCUUGGUCUACACAGUGAUUCCCUUGCUAAGGAAAUCGCUUUAUAGAGGGUCCUCUGCAAGGGUUGGGCACACAGUAAAGGUUGGGUGCUCAGCAAAGGUAGGUCUCCCUUCUCGACCCUUCCAGUCCCGGUGGCCUCUCCGGCGGGGGAGAUCUGGAAAAGGGGCUGUGCGAGGGCGAGCGUGAGCGGCCUGGAGCCUGCGCCCAGCAGCGGCCGGGAGCCUGGAGCGCAGGGGUGGGUGGACGGGUGGGUGGGCUGUUAAAGGGACGGUCACUAAAUCAGGAUUAGGCCGUGGGGCUGUCAGGCUGCCAGGCCCUGUCUCCAUGGAUACCUAAUUUGGAGGAGAAUAGAGGACGGAAGAAUGUUUGUGUUGUCGUACGCCAGGGCCGCCAGGGCCGCAGCGGCUGAGCGGACCUCAGCCCUCGGCCAGGCAGCGAGAAAUGGCAAGCCGGUUCGAAUCCCACUCUGGCCUUCCGCGGGGCAGGAGACCUUCUCGGUGCUCGGGCUCCAGAGCCUUCCCUGUGGAGUCGCUGGAGUGGGCCAGAUAGUGCCAUGGUCCAAAGAACUCUGACCCUGCACAGGGAGCCCGAGACCCACCCAGAGUUCAACCCGAACCCCCGUGCGUCCUUCUGGGAACGGCCGGACUGGGGUUCUCCCGAGCCCCCAUCCAGGAAUUCCGCCGGGAGCAAACGCCGUUCUCUGCUGUGCAGUGGCCCGGGGAGGACAGUCGGACCGGGCAGCUCAGUACUUGGCGCUGCGGGACCCAGCCGCGCGCGGGUACCAGGCGGCCGCCGGAGCGGCGGGGCAGGGGGCGGGGCGGGACUUCCUGGGGUGGGCGAGAAAGGGGCGGGGCCUGCCGCCGGCCUCACUCCGCCGGUGACAGGCCUCGUAAAUCCCCCUCUCCCGUAUUUAGCGCCGUUUCAUUAAUUUCCACUUGAUUCCAGCGGUGUUCCCAACAGCCACCCCUGUCAGGAGCGACCCUCGUGCUCUCCCAGUAGUAUAUUCUCAGGAGAGCCCUCUUGGGGCUAAAAGGAAUUAGCUUUGUGGGGCAGUGGAGUUGCCCGACACCCCCCACUUUUCAGGGGACCCCCAUCUCCCCGGGAGCAGAAGAGGAGGGCAGAGAGACACAGGGAUGUGUUGGGCCUGCGGGGGCCUGCGGGAUUUUUUGGCUGUGGCGUAAAGGUGGGCUGGGCUGAGGAUCCCGUGGGUGGACAAUUCCAGUGCGCAGACUGGAGGGGGGCAGGAGAGGGACCAGACCGGAUUGUGUUGUUCUCAGAGCCUUUUCCUGCCUUCCUCCUGGUCAUCCAUGGCCACAGCUUUUUAUGGAGCAAGCAUCCCCUCCCCUCCCCUCCCUGGGCUGCAGCUUUAUUGCUGAGACCUCAGACUCUCCACGCAAUUUCACGCCUCUCUGCCUUUGCUCUUGCUGUUCCCUCAGCCAAAUGCCUUCCCCAUUGUCCCUGUCUCUCCACAACCUCCUCAUUCUUCAAGGCCCAACUCAGAUGCCACACUUCCCCCAUGUAGCCUCCCCAGAGCCCCCAGCUCUUGUCACUUGCUCCUCUCUGCACAUUCUAGCCCUGCACCUGUGCCUCCCAUCAGCCUCUGUGGCUGAGUCCACACUAGGCUUUGCCUCCUGGAGGACAGAGCUGGAGCGCAAACUUCCCUGUCCCCCAUCCCCACUGGGCUUGGCACAGGGCCUGGCACCUUGACUUUGCCCCUUCCUUUCCCCACAGGCCAGCAUUCUUUCCCUGCCAUUAUCAUCCUGUUAAACAGAGAGGCCAGUCAGGAUCCAUAUGGAUCACAUUAACAAUUGCUUAUUAUCUGGGCCAAGGCUGCCCCCACUCUCCACCCCCAGCUCCUACUGCUGCAGUUGCUGGACCCUUAGGAGCCCAGCCUCCCUGCCUCCCCCUCCCCCACCACUGGUCCGUCAGGGAGGGCAGGGGCUAGGCUGGUCUCCUGACUCUCCCUGUGCCUUCUCGUGGAACUUGCCGCUUGUGGACUCGGUUGGCAGUUAAUGAUGCCUCUACCUGAUUUAACGAAAACCCAGUUCCCCGCAGGACCUUGGCUCAGUGACGUUCCAGGGCUGCCACAGGGAGAGGGGGCCCUGAGGCCAGGUACACCUGCGGUCAGCAAUACCAAGAGCCUCGGCCUUCCAGUGGGCUGGGGUGAACCCCACUAGGCCGACCAUGGGGAGUAGUGGUGUCUCCUGCCAUCUCAGCCCUGGGCUGGCCCUGCUCCCUUUGGGAGCUGGCAGACUAGUGAGCAAGAGCAAGGCAGAAGAGACCUUACCGGGCUGUGUGGGUCCCGAGCCAUGUGCUGCAGUCAAAGAAGCAAGAAAUCCAAGUUUCCAGAGUGGCUGCUGAGUCGGUCUUGAAGGAUGAGGAAUGGAAUUUAUGUUUAAAUGCAGAAAGCCCAAGAAUACUAGGAGUGGAAGGGAUUGUCAAGAUUGCUCAGGCUUGGGUCCAUAACUGUUUUUUGAUUUACAGACCCCUUAGAGGAAGGACAAAAGCCGUCCCCAGAAAAAUGCACUCCAUCAAUCAAUACCAGACCUUGUGUUCUACUUUGGAGGGUUCCUAGACCCCCUGAACCCACAGGAACCCCACGUCCAGAAACCCUCGCCCUAGUCCAGGUCCCCCUGAAGUGCCGGGAGCAGAGUGGGGCCUGCAGCCCGGGCCUCCUGCCCUCUCCUCUGUGGCAGGUGGACAGGAUGAGCUAUGAGACCAGGGGUAUCGGACGGAGCUGUCGGGGCUGGCUUUGAGUGGGAAAGGUUCAGGCUGCCUGGGUUGGGUAUGGGCUAGUCGUCACAUCUCUGUGUCCCCUGCAGAGAGGAUGUCCAGAUGUCCGGGGUUGUUUGUUUUAGGACCCACUCAUUCCCAGGAACAAGGCUGCAGGGCAAGAAAGUCUAGCUCUUCUCUGAGCCUUCUUUUAAGUGUCUUGAUGAAGCAUGGCUAACUCAUAGCGCUUAUUGCAUAUUCUGUAUCUCAUCUGUGAAAUGGGACUGAUCUUGGUGCCGUCCUCAUAAGCAUUAUCCUGGGGAUGAAAUGAGGCAGGCGCUGGGAGCCCUGUGUCCUAGUCUUGAAAGACUGUGGGCCUGUGAGGCCCUAAUCGGAAGUGCAGAGACAGUGCUCAGGGCUCUAGAGAUUUUCUGUGACUUAUAAUGAGGUUUUGUCCUGAUAAAUCCAUCAGAAGUUGAAAAUAUUAUAAGUCAGGUGUUCCCACUGUGGCUCAGUGGGUUAAGGACCCGAUGAUGCCUCUGUGAGGAUGUAGGUACGAUCCCCGGCCUCUUUCAUUGGGUUAAGGAUCUGGCGUUGUGGCAUGCUAUGGUGUAGGUCACAGAUGCGGCUCGGAUCUGGCGUUGCUGUGGCUGUGGCAUAGGCCGUAGCAGCCGCUUCCAUUCAGGGCCCGGGAACUUGCAUCUGGCAGAGGUGUGGCCAUUAAAAAGAAAAGAUAUUGUCAAAGAUGCAUUUAAUACACCUAACCUACUGAACCUCAGAGCUUAGCCGAGCCUACCUUACAGGUGCUCCGUAUACUUACAUUAGCCUAUAGCGGGGCAAAAUCAUCUAACACGAAGCGUAUUUUAUAAUAAAGUGGUCGAUAUUGCGUAUAAGUCAUGAAAGACGGUACUGCAAGGGAAAAACAGAAUGGCUUGAUGGUGCAGAAUGGCUGUGAGUGUUUCUGCUGUUUAGCCUCGUGAUUGCCCGGCUGACUGGGAGCUGCAGCUCACUGCCACGGCCCAGCAGGGGAUCACACGUGGGUUGUACCUCGCUAGCCUAGGAAAAGAUCAAAAUUCACAAUUCAAAGUACAAUUUCUAGGAGUUUCUGUUGUAGCUCAGUGGUUAAUGAAUCCAACGAGGAAUGAUGAGGUUGUGGGUUUGAUCCCUGGUCUUGCUCAGUGGGUUGGGGAUCUGGCGUUGCUGGGAGCUGCGGUGCAGGUUGCAGAUGCUGUGGCUGGGGCCUAGGUGGCGAGCUACAGCUCCGAUUAGACCCCUAGCCUGGGAACCUCCAUAGGCUGCAGGUGUGGCCCUAAAG